Formica exsecta is the source of this 306-nucleotide long non-coding RNA. RefSeq lists it as uncharacterized. The transcript has 2 exons. NCBI's taxonomy places the organism in Eukaryota, Metazoa, Arthropoda, Insecta, Hymenoptera, Formicidae. The record is from RefSeq and is a predicted model, not a curated record.
AUUUUUAAUUAUUUAUUUAUUAUUUAUUUAUUUAUCAAAUAAUAUAUAUAAAUUUUACUGUAUUUAACAUUAUUUGAUUUUCAUUAUUUAACCAAUUUCAAAAUUUACUAUAAAAGUUACUAGUUUGCCGCAUCAUGGCAGACGUUUUCUCCCUUGAGAGUCUCUAAAUAAAUAAAUAAAAUAAAUAAUAAGUAAAUAAAUAAAGGAUCUUUAAAAGUGUGCUAAAUGGUUGUCAGAUAAACUCCCUGUGUUGAGAUAGACGUAUUCGACGACGGAGGGAGAGAGAAGGAAAGAGAAGAACCCGAG